AUUUUGACUGAGUUAAAACGCGGCUAGCUCUUUCACAGAAAAGGAAUUAUCAAAACGGAAAUGAGGGAGCCGAGCAGGUUGGGGAAAAGGAAGUUCUCGCUUCAACUUCAUCUUAAAGGUAAACUAGAGGAGGCCUUUUAAUACUUUAACAAACAUGAAACUACCUUAAGCUGACACAUUUGGGCUCUAAAUAAUGUCAUAGUGCGAUGUUAGGGAGUGUAUUGUUUUUAUUGCGCACCUUAUCCUUCAGAGAACGAUGAAAAGUAUCAAAGAAUGAAGGUUUCACUGUGUAAUUUCAGGACAUGUUUAUGCAAAUGUCCACGAGUGUGUUUCCGCGUGUGGCACGUGCGCGCGCCGACUCAUGGAGUCGUUCUGCGGGGAGAAAUGAUAGUCGCAUUAACCCUUCAACUCUUAUUUCAUGGCUGCCUCGUUAAGAAGCUUGUGGAUUUAAUUACCGCUAGUGGAGGCUGGGAAGGUACAAGGCCCCGUGUCGCCGUGUAAUUGGAAGCAUUUCUCUCUACACCCAACUUAACAUUUUCCACCCAUCUCUAAUUGUCGAGUACAAUUCACGCUCAUUAAUAAGGCGAAUUAUGUAAUUUUCAAAACAGGACUCUGCUGUUGGAUGAUGGGGGUGGGGGUGUGUGUGUGGGGGGGUGUUGAGCAAUACACUGAUAAUUCCAUCAGCGGACUCUGUGCCACAUUUAGUACUCUUUUCUUCAAAUAGAAACUACAUGCUGUUAAAUAUAAGGCAAAGCUAUAAUUAAAACCACAUCAGUUUAAAAACGCGUCUUUUGUGCAUACAUAGCUUUGGGGGACUUCUCAGUAGCCAAACAGUCUGUGCAUCCAUACUAUGUUAUAUUGUGGCAUCAAUUUCAAAAUAGCUAUGGUGGAGGACGCGUUGUACACACACCAUGCCCCAUGCAGCUAAAAUUAACUGCAUUUUAGUCAUUGAAUCCUGAUACAGAAGCUGUGUGAAGAUCAACUCAUUUACAAGCUAAAUACUUUUAUCAGAUGUGUAUUAUAACUCAAUUUUGGCUCAGUUUCUCAACUAAUACAGCUGGGCCUAUGCUACUUCACUAAUAUGUGACAGUGGUUGUUAAUAUUUACACUGACAUUGAACAGCACUCUGCCCGUCCAAACCCAACCCAGAAAAAUUCUACUAUUAAUACAAAAAAUUAAACAGAUUCAGAAAAGGUUGAUUUAAAAAAAUCUGAAUGAGUUGCAGUCAUCUAAAAAUAUUUGACCUUUCUAUGAAAGGCCUCAGAAUUUAAAUUGGUUUGACUAUUUUAAUAUGUUGGACAUCUGCUCUGAGGCUACUGUAUGACUGGUCUUCAUUAAUUAACUCCACCCCUUCUGUCCUUAUCGGUUCCCUUCGCUUUUUAUUCAUUUGCCUACUCUCUCUUUUCUUCCUGCCCUCGGUGCAUACCAGGUAUCAGAGCUAUGUGGCUUUGUCAGUUUGCUCACAUGGUCAUAUCUUCUCCCUCUCUUGUUUAAUCACCAUUCAAUAACCCCGCGACGACUGUGUGAAUGGCAACAUUUAAUGGGCUACACUUCAUUUGCUCUUUUAAAAUUGGCCCAGGUUGAUGGCAAACAACAACGACAGGCAGCAGCUGGAAUAGAGAAAUCACACACGGUGACAGUCACGGUGAGGCGAGGGGCCGAAUACCGCUGCUGCAAAUGAAGUCCUCAGCCACAAGACUCCAUUAAAAAGUCGCAACGUGAUACCAAUCUGCAACUUUAUUAUUGCCAGGGCCCACUCCUCCCCCCACGCCAGCGCCGUAGCCGCCGCAGUACUCCAUCCUGCAUUAUCAGAAAACACAGUCAUUAAAAAGCAUUUGACCUUUUUGUAGCGAGUAGCGAGAAAUUACCUUUCCUGUUUGGUUCCCCCUUCCUCCCCCCUCCCACCUUGUUCGGCGAAUAAAUCACUUCACUGCAAAUUGUAAUGCAACUCCUCCUUCGCUCUGAGUGGCGUUAUAGGUCCGCUAUGCUUCUCUGGCGCCGGAGGAGAUACCGCCAUAAUUAAAUGUUACAUCUGCCAAUUGUUUCACAGGGACAAUGAGGAGGGAUGGGGCAGCUGGAGAGCAGAGGAAGAGAGGAUUGUGGGGGGUGUGGGGUGUUAGGAAGUGGUGGGGGAGACAAGUGGAGGUGAGACAGUGCUCCAGGGUUGGAGCGUUUGAAGAGAAGAUUGCAGAGGCCAGCCAAGGAAAAGAGAGGAGGAGAAAGGGAGUAGACAGGUAAUAGAAAGAGAGGUUGGAGCAGAGACAGACGGAUAGAAAAAAAAGAAGCUCUUGGCCUCACAUUGAGCAUCUCAGUGUCAUCAUCCGAGUCUGUAUUGAUCUGAUGUGUGUGUGAACGUCUCCUUGUGUGAGUGUGUGCGAGCAAGAUGGAUGGAUGAAGUCUUAGAAGUGUAACAGCGUAUCCUAACACUUUGAAAUCCUCUGCUCAGACAGCGUCUAUCUCUGAUAUCUCGGCCUGGCUGCUUUUCACUGACACCCUGAACCAAUCGGCUCACAUGGUGGAAAACAACCAAAGUGCCUGUGGCUCAUGUGGGUGUGAUAAUGAAUAUUUAUUGUCUCGUGAUGCAUCUCAUCAUACACCUCAGCAUCCACUCGCACACACAUUUAGGCCUUAUACCCACGCCCACCACCCAUGCGAACACAGCUCCUCCCCAUGUCUACAGAGCGAGCCUUUGUUUACCCCCAUUGAAAUGAAAACUGCCACGGGAGUUGCUCUAGUUGUUACAUAUCACCCUGUGAGCAAUUAGCAAACUGCACAGGGGGCAGAGGGAAAACAUACACUGUCACAUGAUGUUUUGAUGACCCCUAUGUGUUUGAUUUCAGGAGAGUGCAAGCGCAUGUAUUUCUGUUGGUGCAUGCUGUUUAUCUUAAUCUAGUAUUCCACUUUUUGUAGCCAAGGAGGUCUAGUCAAAAACACAAGAAGGAGCACAGAUGCAGAAAAGAAAACAAAGACCCGCUUCAUAGUGACUCUGUUUUUAAUUUUUUUCAUUAAAGCAUGUGAUUUGUCCAAAAAUACAGGGAUAUAGACCAUGAAAAGAGAAGUUUGUUUUAAAACGGUAUUAUUAAAUUUACUUCCUCUGGCCAAGCUGAAGACUAUGGUGAUAAAAUUGCAAUGUGACACUUGAAGUUUUUAGUUACUGUGUGACUGCAACAUGCAGCAGUGAUCCAAAACUCCAGUGAGACAGUUCAUAUAGCAAUACAGAAGCACUAUCCCCCUGCAGCCCCAGGCUACUGUUACAUUAACCUAAGCUGUGCCAUGGAAGCAAAUCAACAAGGGGAUAAGGAAUGGUUAAAUGGAGGGGUUAUGUUGAAUAAACCCUUCCCAAUGUGCUGCAGGGUGGAGAUGCAUUUCCAUAACUGAGAUAAAUUGGAUUUAACGGCGAAUCAUAGACAACAAUAGUAAAGGACGCUUAGGGCUGGUGUCUGUCCCACCCUACAGCGGGGAUAUACAGGACCUCUGUGUGUGUUCCCGUGCCCCCGUGCCAAAACGGUCUCGUUCUGGUUAAGGUAUGAAAUCGCUCUGACCAUAAGCACCUUCUCUUUUCAGCCGUGACCUGUUAUCCUUUUAGUUGAAGAGAGUCAAGGGAGGCCUUGUUUUACCCUGCAGGCAGAUGCCAGCACAGGCGCAAUUUAAACAAGCUUCACCAGGCCGACUGAAAGCUGUAAGGAGCAUCUACUUGUUACACCUGCUACUCAAGACUACAGGAGACCAAGAAGAGUCAGUUGGCUAUGAUCCACUAUGUACGUCUUUGAUUAAUCGGUUUUGUUGCUUAAACAGGGCAAAGUUAAUUCAAAUCCAGUUAAAAUAAAAAGAUAAGUUGUAAAAUAGAACUAUAGUAAAGUCCAACUUUACUCACAGAGGAAUAUCUGGAAGAAACAAUCACAAUUGUCUUUAUUAGUCUGUUAUACAAAGUGUCUUUUUAAUUCCUGUGAACAAAUAAAUGUUCCUCAGCUGCUCAAGUUUGACACAAAUCAACAAAAACUCUAUCAAAAGAAGUCCUAACACUCAAUUUUAGUUGCUAAUUUUAAAAAAGCUGAGAAUACGGAGGAUGAUUACACUACACACACACAGACACACACACACUCACACACACAUACAAAUACACUCACCACCCACUGUCGGUGAUAACAAACAGUGAUUAGCAUGUGAAAAACAACACAGACAGGGUGUAAGCAAGCAGAUGCCUGUCCCCCUAUUAGCCAUGUUGAUUAGCUGACUGUCUAAAUACCUUUGUUUUGGUGGUUGUGUAUCUGUCCAGCUCUUUUUCCCUCUUUCUCUCUCUCUCCCUUUGGACGACACACCCCAGGCCACCCUGUAAAAAUCCUAACUCAUCCUGAAGCCAAUUCCUGUCUCUUUUACCCAGAAAACAAAUACACAAUCAAACAACACUAAGCCAAUUUCUUCCCUUGCUGAAGCGUAUUCACAGACACCCUCGUACACACACAGACACACACACACACACCUCCUCUAAUUUCCUGGGGCCGUGGUACUGGCAGGGAGUGUGUUGUAGCGCCAACUGAGCUCUGUGUUUGGGGUAAUUGCUCUUGCUGCGUUAGUAUGGAAAUCUGCAAAUGUGUGACAGGGCCAGAUAGCUUCCUCCAAUGUUGUUCUGAUCCUGCCUCCAGGCCCGCAGCCAAACUAUUUUAUCUCUUAAUGCAUUAGAGUGAUCUUCCAAUUAGCCCACGCUCAUAAUACUCCCCCAUUCCUGGUGGCUGUGUGCUCAGGGCUGCACAGAGACAGAAAGACAGGGAGGGAAGUGGCGCAUAUUGGAGUGCGUGUGUGUCCACAUAAAGCUUAUGUUCGCAUGAAUGUGAGUGUCCAUGUAUAUGUCUGAAUGUAUACAUGAAGGUAAAUGUGAGCCUUCACAUAAAGGUUUGUGCCAAGAAAAUGUGUACACCUGUGAAAAUGUGUUUCAUUUACAAAAAAACGUGAAGUUAUUUCAAAAAAAGUGUGUCCGUGUGAACGCGUGUUCCGAGGCUUGAUGGGUUUGGGUGGUGGAUGAGGCGGUGGAGGUGGGCUGGGUUGGCAACCGGGGAAAAGUGAAGUGGAGAGGAUGCGGCGUACGCGUGUGUAAGUGUGUACGUGCAUGCAGGCGUGUGAGAGGAGCAAGGCGGGUGGGUGGUGGGUGGUGGUGGUGUGGCGAUAGUUCUGCUUGAGAGGUGAAAUGAGGUGCUUAUUGUGCACGGCGUGGGGGUUGCGCCGUUAGUCCGGGGCUCCUGUUGUAAAGUUUGCUGAUAAGGGGAACCCGGCCCUUGAGCAUCCAUUCUCCUCGGUGUAUUAGCGCUCCCUUAUCAGGGGCCCAGAUAAAAACCGGCAUGCCAUUUGCCUUCGGUGGAAUUAAGCCCUCCUCCUCCUCUUUCUCCUCCUUCUCCACCUCUUCCUCUUCCACCCUCCUCCUCUCUCCUUCCCUUGUCUGCCUUGACUAACCGGGCGGGCUGCGAUUAACCUCGACACUGUCCAAUAUCCUCAGCAGACUCCUGCCCGCAGAUUAGCCGCUAUUAGUUAUGACCAACUAAAUUAACCACUGCCGCUUUCCUGAGAGAGGGAGAAGGAGGGAGCGGGAGAUGGAGGAGAGAAAGAGAGGUGCAUGCAGGGAGAUGGAAUGAGCAUGAGGAGGUUCAUUUAGAAAGGGAGGGACAGAUGGGGAGACUGAUGGAAAGAGGGUGAUAAGUGAGGGAGGGAGGAGGAGAGACAAAGUGUUACAAGCAUUGUGUGUGCGUUCAUACAUGUGUACACUCUGAAGUGGCUCAUUUUGUAUUGUCCUCGCUGGGACAAACAUACUGUACGUUAGACUUUCUCAUGCAAAUGUUGGUCUAGGCUCUCACACGAAUACACAAAUUUGUUUAUUGCCACAAUAAUUUGUCCGGACUAUUUAAUUCACUGUAUGUCAUCUCACUUGACAUCUUCUCAGUGACGUAAAAUCUAUUCAUUGUCUCACUGGGUCGAGCCAGUCGUCAUGAUAACUUUGCCUCUCUCUCUCUUUUUGGUCGUGUCAGUGCUGCUAAAUACACCGUUGAGUAAAAAACAAACACAAAUUUCUACCUGGGUGCAGAGUCACAAACAGACUCGACAGCAUCUCUUUGGUUUAUGAGCCACAGUCUGUACAGCAGGAAAUAUCCGUGCAUUAAUGACAUUUCAGGGUUUGAUUUUUUUUAAUUGCAUUCGACACCUAGUUGGAAAUUAUCAGGGAUUUCAAACAAUAGACUUGAUGAAUGAAAACAAGAAAUACACACACACACACACACACACACACAGGCAGAUGGAGGGUCAUUGUAUUGCUUGAAUAAAUGUCAUGUAAAACAAGUCAAUGAAUGUUUUAAUUAUUGAGAUAACAGAACUUGAAUUACAUUAAGCAAAUUUGAUACAGUGAAGGAACAUUUUUGUUUUUGACAAAUAAGAAUAUGUGCACCAAUAAUUGGAUAUCAAUAAUUAAAUUUCGUUCCCAUACAUAUAAGAAUUUGUGCAUAAAAAGGAAUUUACAAUUUGAAGUCUAUAUUAAACUCUGAUAAAUAUACAAAUUUAAGUAUAAAUUAUAGGGAUUUUAAAUAUUAACAGCUUUGCUUAAAGUAUACACAUCCAUAAAUAUAUAUCUAUAUUUAAAUACAUGAUAAUCUUACAAAAAAAAUCAUUAUUAAUUUUAAACUAUCUGACCACCUUGUUUAAUAUCCUUUGCUCCAUCUCUCUUUUUUCGGUCCUCAGACCGCCCUGCACACUCUUGACAGAGGGUCUCAAGAAACAAUGUGACUGGCACAACACAGAGGUCCUCUCCAUGGUGGGCAUUUUUGUGUGUUUGUCUGUGUGUUUGUGUUGACUUAUGAGAUGGACAAGGUGGCAGGGAGCCAUGGAGCACACACACUGCUUUUCUGUUUGCAGGAGCCUAUCCCUCAUACGUACACACACACAUCCUGACAACUUACAUUCAGUGUCACACCACACCCCGCUAAUUCUUUGCUGAGUGUAUUUAGCCGUCACAUCUGGCUGUAUUGACAGGAGAUGCCAUGGGCCAAAGCAAAGCCACCUGCACAUGGCUGCUGCAGCCCCAGCGCCUACACCGACCGUCUCCCCUCUCCCUGUAUUUGUUUCUCCCUCUUUCACCCUCCUUACUGCCUCUUCUCCUAGCUUACGUGUAUUGGUAUUCAUGUGGCUCUGAAAAGACAUAGCACAAGUGCACAGACAAAUGUACAGAUGUAAAAAUCAAUACUCAGCAGGUUUUUAUCUAUUCAAGGAGCUAAGUGCAGAAUUAAUUAAAGAUCGCAGUAAAAUCAACCAAGUGUUUGCUUUUUACAUUGAGAGUUUGACACUGAUCAUUUUUAUACUUUUGUCAGUUUAUUUAAUCUUUAUUGAUACACAAUUUACCAAACACAAAUUUUUUAAUAAAUCCCCAAGAAACUUGUAUAAGUAUAUAAUAAUCACUUAGAUUUAGAAACCAUAGAAAAUUAUCUUAAAGGCUAUCUAUUCAGUUACUAAGACUGAUUGUUAGGAAAUCAAUUAUUUCUAAAUAUCGUCACCUUCUUAAAAUAAUGGCUUAAGUCAAUGAGCAAGUUUUCAGAAACGUUCCUGAAUACUCUCAGAAAAUGGCCUAACCCACAUCCUUUACAUAGUCCUUAUACUACAAGGGUAGUAUCACAUGAUCUGUUCAAUUGAGGAUUUAGGCAAAUCUACCAGAGAUGGGCAGCAACAUGAGGGACUGAAUAAGUAUUUUUGUUAGAAAAUGACAUAAGCCAUUAUUUUAAGAAGGUGACGAUAUUGUAGUUUGAAUAUUUCACCUUAUUACUAUUCCAUUGAAUUUUAACAAAAUUUUACUAAAUCUCAAGAAUAGCAAAAUGUUAUGUCAUUUUCAUUUGAGAUUUUUUUGUGAUAUAUCUGAUGUACAAAAUACUUUGAAAUUCUACGUUGGCUGUGCAUUGGCGUGUCUGCUUCACAAGAUUGCUCAGUAACUUUAUCCCACUUUGGCCAUCUCUCUUCCUUUUCUACUUUGCUGUCACUCAGAAGCCUCAAGUGUUGGAUAACGCCAUUGAAAGCAGUCGCUGUAAUUUUAAUGGGGAACCAGUGGGCUUUAAAGGACAGGAGAACAUGGCACAGUUGUUGCCCUCCACUGUGUAAAAUGAAAACAGGAGAGUAAAGCCAGUAUAGCCCCCUGCUCUCUCCCCCUCUCCUGCUGCCCCCCGUGUCCACAAUAGGGGGAACCUGUUUAUCUCUAUGUACAAUUAAGAGUGUGAAAUUUGAACAUGCUGAAUUAACUAAAAAAAGACCCACUUUUGUUACAAAGGAAACAAAGCCUCAGGAGAGAAGAGAGGGGAGGAGAGAGAGAGAGGGAGAAAGCAUAGACGGAGGAAAAAAGGAUUUAGCAGUUGUAAGAAAAGACAGCGUGGCUCACAAAAAUCCAGAAUAAUCACAUUUCCACCAAAUAAAUCAGACUGGUUGGCAUGUGGUGCAAACAGACACACAUGGUGAAAGACAUCUGCAAACACAGACACAGGUUUAAAAGCAUCCACAGCAGAGUGCGACAUUUUCUGUGACUUUGCACACUGACUUUUAAUUUUCACUUUCCCGUUCACUCCUACACACAAACUCACACACAGCAGCCUGAAGCUAUAUGACAGCGUGCCAACCUCACCCCGUGUGCUUGUUCAUUCACCCACUGUUUUGGCCUGCUAACAGGCCUCUGGCACAAGCGAUCCAGCCAGACCACCCUGACUGCCCUCCUCCAUCUUCUCCUCUCCGUAAACCAGCGAUCCAGCCAGUCAGGCUCAUUUUGGCUUUACUUAAUGCCACGACGACACCUCACAUCGCCCCACUUCCACCUUAAGAGAAUGAGUAAUCAACAAACUGGGAGCCAUUUGCCGUCUGUCAGUCAAAUCCAACACUCUGCUGUGCUAUCAGUCCUCUGCUUGCACCAAGCCCUCCUUCCCUUCCUUCCUCUCCUCUAAUACCAAUUUAAAUCGUUCAACGCUCCUUUCCUCCCGCUGCCAUUAUUCAAAAAGAUCAUAAUAGUUUUCCCUGUGCCCAAAGCACAAAAAUCAAUUAUUUCCCCACAAAGACUUGAAAGUACUUAGCGCAGGCCUGCGAGGGGAAAAGCUGUGGGUUAUAUCAAAUUGAAACUGCACUCAUUACACAGGCACACAAUUAGUUACCUCUGGUCUGCCUGCUGCUCUUUAAUUUCCGAAACGGCAUAUCUGUAUUAUAACAGAAACAAGCAUGCAAAUGCUAUUGUUGGGGAUUUAGAGAAAUCAAUAGGACGGCUGGCGAGAGGCGUUUGGUGGCGCUGUCACUCAAAAUCUGCUGCCGGCGACUGAUAAAGGUCUGAAUUCAAAUUAGUGCCAAAGCCGGCCAGUGACAUCAGAAGUGACAUCCAAAAUAAAAGGGACGGCUUCAUGAUAUAUGUAAUUAUUCUCCUCGCAUUUGUGCUACAUUUUUUUUUUCUCUCCUCUCUCCCUCCUCUUUCCUCCCCACCCUCAUUCUCUCUUUUUCCUCAUUGUGUAUACUUGUGUAACUGUGUUUUGCAUAAAGGGAUUAGGAGUGCCUUAAUGAGAAACUGUAAUUGUUUUUUCAGCCUCACUCUAUGGAUAUGUUCACGUGUGUGUAUGUGUGUGUUUGCGGGUGUUUGUGAGAGAGACGGAAUGAAAACAUGUCUUGAAUAUGCCUUGUUUAAUGCAAAAUGAAUACAGUAUUGAAAUAAUAUUUUUUUCUCCUCCAUAUCAGAGGACUAUUGCUGUGAAAGCUACGAAGGUCUGGGAGAAAACUAUGUUAUGAAAUACAUUUCCCCACAAUAAUGAGCCGAGAGCUGAUACUGAACAAUGGACAUAACCAGACUCGGCUUCAGUUUGUCUCAGAUACCAAAUUGUUGACAUCUUUUUAUUUUCACUGCUGCCAAACUUUUCUGUUUGGCAGAAAUCCUGAUAAGGUAUAAUAGAUACCCAGCCUGACUGGGCAAACACAUGAAUGAAGCAUUUUUAACACAGGAGAUUAAACACUGGGGAACAUUAAUCAGUGUGUUUUUUUUUUUCUAUCAGUCCAUGUCGACGAUGCUGAGCUGAAAUGAUGGAAUAAGAUCUCUUUUAAUGAACAAACUAAUGUACAAAUGUGACGUUUGCUGUUUUUUUUAACUCAUGUGAUAUCAAUGUCCUUAAUAUUUAUACAUGCAU
Non-coding RNA from Xyrichtys novacula (pearly razorfish), 10163 nucleotides. NCBI's taxonomy places the organism in Eukaryota, Metazoa, Chordata, Actinopteri, Labriformes, Labridae. The record is from the annotation of a GenBank genome assembly.